UACGUACCGUCCAAACGUUAUUCGGAAUUACUGGGCUUAAAGGGUUUGUAGGCGGCGCUGUAAGUCGGGUGUGAAAUCCCCAAGCUUAACUUGGGAACUGCAUUCGAGACUGCAUAGCUAGAGUAUGGGAGAGGGAAGUGGAAUUUCAGGUGUAGCGGUGAAAUGCGUAGAUAUCUGAAGGAACAUCAGUGGCGAAAGCGACUUCCUGGACCAAUACUGACGCUCAUGUGCGAAAGCGUGGGGAGCAAACAGG
RNAcentral lists this ribosomal RNA (253 nucleotides) under uncultured bacterium. Its description in RNAcentral is "partial 16S ribosomal RNA". It matches the Rfam family "Bacterial small subunit ribosomal RNA", at positions 524 to 776 of the family's 1533-position model. The record is from RNAcentral.